This 503-nucleotide ribosomal RNA is filed under the name uncultured bacterium. Its description in RNAcentral is "partial 16S ribosomal RNA". It matches the Rfam family "Bacterial small subunit ribosomal RNA", at positions 29 to 523 of the family's 1533-position model. The record is from RNAcentral.
AUUGAACGCUGGCGGCAGGCCUAACACAUGCAAGUCGAGCGGUAGCACAGAGAGCUUGCUCUCGGGUGACGAGCGGCGGACGGGUGAGUAAUGUCUGGGAACUGCCUGAUGGAGGGGGAUAACUACUGGAAACGGUAGCUAAUACCGCAUAACGUCGCAAGACCAAAGUGGGGGACCUUCGGGCCUCAUGCCAUCAGAUGUGCCCAGAUGGGAUUAGCUAGUAGGUGGGGUAACGGCUCACCUAGGCGACGAUCCCUAGCUGGUCUGAGAGGAUGACCAGCCAAGCGGGAACGGAGACACGGGCGAGACUCCUACGGGAGGCAGCAGUGGGGAAUAUUGCACAAUGGGCGCAAGCCUGAUGCAGCCAUGCCGCGUGUGUGAAGAAGGCCUUCGGGUUGUAAAGCACUUUCAGCGGGGAGGAAGGCGGUGAGGUUAAUAACCUCACCGAUUGACGUUACCCGCAGAAGAAGCACCGGCUAACUCCGUGCCAGCAGCCGCAGUAA